GUGGUGGUAGCUCAGUGGUUAAAAUGCUGGGCUAUUCAUCAUGAGUCAUGAGUUUAAAACCCCACCACUACU
This is a non-coding RNA of Ameiurus melas (black bullhead), 72 nucleotides long. The record is from the annotation of a GenBank genome assembly. NCBI's taxonomy places the organism in Eukaryota, Metazoa, Chordata, Actinopteri, Siluriformes, Ictaluridae.